CGGCGAGUGAAGCGGCAAUAGCUCAAAUUUGAAAGCUGGCGUCUUUGGCGUCCGCGUUGUAAUUUGUAGAGGAUGCUUCGGCGAGGGCUCCGGUCUAAGUUCCCUGGAACGGGACGUCAUAGAGGGUGAGAAUCCCGUAUGUGAUCGGUUGCCUAAGCCAUGUGAAGCUCCUUCGACGAGUCGAGUUGUUUGGGAAUGCAGCUCUAAAUGGGAGGUAAAUUUCUUCUAAAGCUAAAUACCGGCCAGAGACCGAUAGCGCACAAGUAGAGUGAUCGAAAGAUGAAAAGCACUUUGGAAAGAGAGUUAAAAAGUACGUGAAAUUGUUGAAAGGGAAGCGCUUGCAACCAGACUCGUCCGCAGUUGCUCAGCCGGUCUCUUGACCGGCGUACUCUUCUGCGGCCGGGCCAGCAUCAGUUCGGGCGGCCGGAUAAAGGCCUCGGGAAUGUAGCACCCUUCGGGGUGUGUUAUAGCCCGGGGUGGAAUGCGGCCAGCCUGGACUGAGGAUCUCGCUUCGGCUAGGAUGCUGGCGUAAUGGUUGUAAGCGGCCCGUCUUGAAACACGGACCAAGGAGUCUAACAUCUAUGCGAGUGUUUGGGUGUCAAACCCAUGCGCGUAAUGAAAGUGAACGGAGGUGGGAACCCUCACGGGUGCACCAUCGACCGAUCCUGAUGUCUUCGGAUGGAUUUGAGUAUGAGCAUAGCUGUUGGGACCCGAAAGAUGGUGAACUAUGCCUGAAUAGGGUGAAGCCAGAGGAAACUCUGGUGGAGGCUCGCAGCGGUUCUGACGUGCAAAUCGAUCGUCAAAUUUGGGUAUAGGGGCGAAAGACUAAUCGAACCAUC
This 839-nucleotide ribosomal RNA is filed under the name Pseudofusicoccum kimberleyense. Its description in RNAcentral is "eukaryotic LSU rRNA". It matches the Rfam family "Eukaryotic large subunit ribosomal RNA", at positions 87 to 944 of the family's 3401-position model. RNAcentral also lists the same sequence under 1 other name. Lineage: Eukaryota; Fungi; Ascomycota; Dothideomycetes; Botryosphaeriales; Botryosphaeriaceae. The record is from RNAcentral.